Molecule: ribosomal RNA, 460 nt
Filed under: uncultured bacterium
Lineage: Bacteria
Description: partial 16S ribosomal RNA
Rfam family: Bacterial small subunit ribosomal RNA
Source: RNAcentral
CCUACGGGCGGCAGCAGUGAGGAAUAUUGGUCAAUGGCCGGAAGGCUGAACCAGCCAAGCCGCGUGCGGGAAUAAGGCCCUCUGGGUCGUAAACCCCUUUUGUCAGGGAGCAAAGGCGCCAACGUGUGGACGAGAGGAGAGUACCUGCAGAAAAAGCAACGGCUAACUACGGGCCAGCAGCCGCUGUAAUACGGAGGUUGCGAGCGUUAUCGGGAAUUAUGGGGUUUAAAGGGUGCGUAGGCGGGGUGUCAAGUCAGCGGGAAAAGUUCGGGGCUAAACCGCGUCGUGCCUUUGAUACUGGCUGCCUUGAGUGAGUGAGAGGUAAGCGGAAUGCGUGGUGUAGCGGUGAAAUGCGUAGAUAUCACGCAGAACGCCGAUGGCGAAGGCAGCUUACCGGCGCUCAACUGACGCUGAGGCACGAAAGUGCGGGGAUUGAACAGGAUUAGAUACCCGGGUAGUC